This 403-nucleotide ribosomal RNA is filed under the name uncultured bacterium. RNAcentral's name for it is "partial 16S ribosomal RNA". It matches the Rfam family "Bacterial small subunit ribosomal RNA", at positions 28 to 526 of the family's 1533-position model. The record is from RNAcentral.
GACGAACGCUGGCGGCGUGCCUAAUACAUGCAAGUCGAACGCAGUGGGGACGGGUGAGUAACACGUGGGUAACCUCCCAUCAGAGGGGAUAACACUUGGAAACAGGUGCUAAACCGAUACUGAUGGAUGGACCCGCGGUGCAUUAGCUAGUUGGUGAGGUAACGGCUCACCAAGGCCACGGUGCAUAGCCGACCUGAGAGUGUUAUCGGCGACACUGGGACUAAGACUCGGCCCAGAAUCCUACGGGAGGCAGCAGUAGGGGAUCUACGGCAAUGGACGAAAGUCUGACCGAGCAACGGCGCGAGAGUGAAGAAGGUUUUCGGAUCGUGGAACUCUGGUGUUAGAGAAGCGGUAUCUAACCAGAAAGCCACGGCUAACUACGUGCCAGCGGCCGCGGUAAUUC